This 622-nucleotide ribosomal RNA is filed under the name Burkholderia sp. IBa226. Its description in RNAcentral is "bacterial SSU rRNA". It matches the Rfam family "Bacterial small subunit ribosomal RNA", at positions 387 to 1001 of the family's 1533-position model. RNAcentral also lists the same sequence under 1 other name. Lineage: Bacteria; Pseudomonadati; Pseudomonadota; Betaproteobacteria; Burkholderiales; Burkholderiaceae. The record is from RNAcentral.
UCCAGCAAUGCCGCGUGUGUGAAGAAGGCCUCUCGGGUUGUAAAGCACUUUUGUCCGGAAAGAAAUCCUUGGCUCUAAUACAGUCGGGGGAUGACGGUACCGGAAGAAUAAGCACCGGCUAACUACGUGCCAGCAGCCGCGGUAAUACGUAGGGUGCGAGCGUUAAUCGGAAUUACUGGGCGUAAAGCGUGCGCAGGCGGUUUGCUAAGACCGAUGUGAAAUCCCCGGGCUCAACCUGGGAACUGCAUUGGUGACUGGCAGGCUAGAGUAUGGCAGAGGGGGGUAGAAUUCCACGUGUAGCAGUGAAAUGCGUAGAGAUGUGGAGGAAUACCGAUGGCGAAGGCAGCCCCCUGGGCCAAUACUGACGCUCAUGCACGAAAGCGUGGGGAGCAAACAGGAUUAGAUACCCUGGUAGUCCACGCCCUAAACGAUGUCAACUAGUUGUUGGGGAUUCAUUUCCUUAGUAACGUAGCUAACGCGUGAAGUUGACCGCCUGGGGAGUACGGUCGCAAGAUUAAAACUCAAAGGAAUUGACGGGGACCCGCACAAGCGGUGGAUGAUGUGGAUUAAUUCGAUGCAACGCGAAAAACCUUACCUACCCUUGACAUGGUCGGAAUCCUGC